UACGUAGGGGGCAAGCGUUGUCCGGAAUCAUUGGGCGUAAAGAGCGUGUAGGCGGCCCGAUAAGUCCGCUGUGAAAGUCCAGGGCUCAACCCUGGGAUGCCGGUGGAUACUGUCGGGCUCGAGUCCGGAAGAGGAGUGUGGAAUUCCUGGUGUAGCGGUGAAAUGCGCAGAUAUCUGGAGGAACACCGGUGGCGAAGGCGGCGUUCUGGACUGUAACUGACACUGAGAAACGAAAGCCAGGGUAGCAAACGGG
RNAcentral lists this ribosomal RNA (253 nucleotides) under uncultured bacterium. Its description in RNAcentral is "partial 16S ribosomal RNA". It matches the Rfam family "Bacterial small subunit ribosomal RNA", at positions 524 to 776 of the family's 1533-position model. The record is from RNAcentral.